Non-coding RNA from Rhamnusium bicolor, 73 nucleotides. The record is from the annotation of a GenBank genome assembly. Lineage: Eukaryota; Metazoa; Arthropoda; Insecta; Coleoptera; Cerambycidae.
GGCUUAGUAGCUCAGUGAUUACACGUUUAGGCUUGAGACCAAGGGGUCCCGGGUUCGAAUCCUGGCUAGGGCA